Otolemur garnettii (small-eared galago) is the source of this 100-nucleotide small nuclear RNA. Lineage: Eukaryota; Metazoa; Chordata; Mammalia; Primates; Galagidae. The record is from Ensembl.
UUGCUGUAGCAGCACAUAUACUAAAAUUAGAACAAUACAGAGAUUGGCAUAGCCCCCGCACAAGGAUGACAUGCAAAUUCGUGAAACGCUCCAUAUUUUU